UUAUAACUCCUGGUAACAGCAAUUCAAUUCAGGGUGGCUAAUGAUGAUUUCAUGAGGCCAGAUUGCUAUUCCUAACUUAUUAGAAUAGUAAUCACCCUUGUAGACCUUGAUACAUUCAUCACAAUCUAUUCUGAAAAUAGAUCUAAUCAGUUUUGAGAGUGUUGCUUAAUGUUGAGUGUCUUACUUGAUUGAAUGAAAAUUCUGCUGUCGAUCUCUAACCUGGACUGUGCAGCACCACAGAUGGCCAAUUACAGUAUCAAGCAAGCUUCACUACUAUUUUCAGAUCGUCUUGCCGUAGGUCCAAGGUUCAGAUCUGAGCUCUGAUACCAAAUUUUGUAAUAUCCCGGCUUUUCCAAAGGAAUUCAGUGAGAUGUAUGUGUAAAUCUGAAGAUAUAAUUGAGAUGGAGGAGGAGAUUAACAGGGAAAGGAGAGGUCAGAUUGGGAAGGGAGUUUAGAUCGGAGAAAGAAAAGUUUUGGGGGGAAUCUAAAUAUUUUUCUUUGCAUGAUUUGAAGCUCUGUUACAGCUCCUUUUUAUAUGCAGUUAUAGAUAAUGUAAAUACAAUGUUUUCAAAAUGAAAUGCAACUCUAAUUAAAUGGAGAUGGCAUUUUUCAAGAAUGAAAUACAAAUAUGAAAUGAAAUGCAAAUAUUCCUAAAUGAAAUGUGAAAUAAAAUUCGAAAGGAUAUUUUUGAGGCUUGUCAGAGCGGGUUGUUGGGUUUGAUGGCUGAAUCCAUGACCCGAACCUGACAGAAUAAAAGGGUUCAGAACCCUCUGGAUCUUGUCGCUUCUCCCGUUUCUUUUUAUCUUCCUCUCUGAAACCCUAGCCAACUCUUAACCCUCUUUUGAAACCCUAGCCGCUCCCGAGGAAGGAGAAGGGUGUGCCCGGCAUGGUUCGGGAUCUCCUAGAGUCAGACCAAGUCUUUCUGAUUCUUUUGCUCCUCUACCAGCAAUCCUGAUGAGGAUGAGUAUUUCUAACUCAUUUUAUUUUUUUAUUUUUUAUUUUUUGCUAAGAUGUUAUAAUAAAAUAAUAGUCAGGGUAUCUUACGUUGACGGUGUAUCCUUGCUGGCAGACGUGCUUGUAUCCACGAACCGCGUCCACAGUUGGGAAGUUGGUCAUCUGUAAGAGCCCAGAUCACCACAGAGGCUCCAGCCAAGGCACAUAAGGUCUCUCUGAAGAAUGACGAGGGUGUCAUCGUUAACAAGUACAUUGGGAGAUGCCUCCUGAACACCAAGAUCACCCGGAUGAUGCCCCCAGAAAAUCUGGCACAUCGUCUUCAGCAUCGAGGGUUUCUUCGUGUGUAAAGUGGCUUGUUUAUACCAAUGAACAAGGGGAAAUGUUCCUUGCUUGAUUGAUUGAUCAUAUUCCACUCAUGUUAUGCUGUUGUAUUUACGGUGACAUGAAACCUCGGGACUGGUUGGGAAAGAAAUGCUUGUGCCUAAGGACACCAAUGCAAAUAUUAUAAUGCUUGCGACAGGAACAGGGUUCUCGCCUUCGUGCUCCUUGUGGAAAAUGUUCUUUGAGGAGCAUGAUGACUACAAGUCUUGCAGUCAGUAGGAAUUUGAGAAGAUGAUAGAGAAGGCACCAAAUAAUUUCAGGGUGAACUUUGCUCAGUGGAGAAAAAACAAAUGACCAGGGAGGAAAAAAAAUACAAAUUCCUAUGGCUCAGUAUGCCAACUAACUGUGGGAUCUACUCAAGAGGGGUGAUACCUAUGUAUAUACGUGUUGACUAAAAGAAAUGGAAAGGACAUUGAUGACAUUAUGGUAUCUUUGGCUGCUAAAGAUGGUAUUGACUGGUCAGAAUACAGAAGGAACUUGUAGAGGGAAGUGCAGUGGAAUGUGGAAGUAUAUCAGCUUGCAUUUUGUGCAUGCUGUGCUUCUCCUUCAAGAAGCCUACUCCAUUUGUACGUACUUCAAAUUCUCAAGUGCCCGUGUCUUUUAUCUCCAUUCUACUGCUCUGUUUCCAAUGGAUAUCCAUGUUGUCUUGAUGGGAAAUACGCAUUAUUGUAUUUUACUGCUUGGCUCGUCCCUGCUUUCUUGCACACUUUGGAAACAUUUUAGAUUUUUAUUAUGGAGAGAAAUGACGAAAAUGCGACAUUAUGGUGUUGAAGUGUAUUUGGGAUGAGGACAAUCUCAAAUCAAACUAUUAUUUUAACAACAUUGGUUUGGAGUUACCAGUCAUUGAAGCAAUUAUUGGUUAGAAUCUUUAAAUUACUUAUGUAUCUCCGAGCAAUGAAUUAAGGGCUUGUAACAAAAUUCAAGUUAGGCUUCUCAACAAACAAUACCUGGCUAUUGGUUAAAAGUCAGCAAUAUCAGGACUUCUGCCAUACAACAACACAACCACAUUCUGGACCUAGUUCCCAAAAACUAUCUUGGAAAAAUCCUUAUUUCUAUAUGGGUUAUGUGGAUAUUCUGUGAGAGGUCGUUAUCAUA
Long non-coding RNA from Elaeis guineensis (African oil palm), 2430 nucleotides. RefSeq lists it as uncharacterized. The record is from RefSeq and is a predicted model, not a curated record. NCBI's taxonomy places the organism in Eukaryota, Viridiplantae, Streptophyta, Magnoliopsida, Arecales, Arecaceae.